GAUGAACGCUGGCGGCGUGCUUAACACAUGCAAGUCGAACGGAGUGAAUAAAACGGAAGUUUUCGGAUGGAAGAUUUAUUUACUUAGUGGCGGACGGGUGAGUAACGCGUGGGUAACCUGCCGUAUACAGGGGGAUAACACUUAGAAAUAGGUGCUAAUACCGCAUAAGCGCACAGCUUCGCAUGAAGCAGUGUGAAAAGCCUUGACGGUAUACGAUGGACCCGCGUCUGAUUAGCUAGUUGGUGAGGUAGAGGCUCACCAAGGCGACGAUCAGUAGCCGGCCUGAGAGGGUGACCGGCCACAUUGGGACUGAGACACGGCCCAAACUCCUACGGGAGGCUG
Molecule: ribosomal RNA, 342 nt
Filed under: uncultured Bacillota bacterium
Lineage: Bacteria; Bacillati; Bacillota
Description: bacterial SSU rRNA
Rfam family: Bacterial small subunit ribosomal RNA
Source: RNAcentral